AGCCCAUAUCCCCUUCCUUUCAGUCCACUCAAGAUAGUCCUUCACUUCAUAAACAGGACCAGCAAAGUGGCUAACACAGCAAAGGCAGUAACCACAGUACUCAAUCAAUGAAGGCAGUUUAAUCAGCCUGUUUUUCUUCUGAGCCUCCCGUAAUUCUUCCUCCUUUAAUAAUCCAUCAUUGUAAUUUAUUGAGCAUGAUAUGACUUUCAGUGUUAACACCAUUAAGGCCCCAGUGGCAUC
Molecule: unclassified non-coding RNA, 240 nt
Filed under: Hevea brasiliensis (rubber tree)
Lineage: Eukaryota; Viridiplantae; Streptophyta; Magnoliopsida; Malpighiales; Euphorbiaceae
Source: RNAcentral